Molecule: long non-coding RNA, 605 nt
Organism: Strigops habroptila (Kakapo)
Lineage: Eukaryota; Metazoa; Chordata; Aves; Psittaciformes; Psittacidae
Exons: 2
Source: RefSeq, a predicted model, not a curated record
CUUUCCCGGCUCCUGCCGCUGAUAGAUCGCCGCGUCGGGGGCAUUUAAACGCCGAGCGCUCCGACGGCGCUGCACGGCACGACACCGCGGGGCAGGGCGGCGGCGGCCGCCCCCCGGGGGAACGAGGGGGGGCCUAGCCGGGCUGUCGCCCCGCCGCGACCGGGGUCCCGCCCGUCGGCUGGGAGAGGAAGGCAGGAUUGAUGCGGAGGCUGCGCCGGGCCCGCGGAACCCACCGUCCGUCCCCUCCAGGGGCUGAUUUCUUGGACCACUCAGCACGCGAGAAGUAACCAAGCCCCUUCUCUGUGAGCUCUGAUAUUUUUAAAGAUAUGCUUCCUGAAACAGAUUGCUAGCUGCUAAGCACCAAUUUCUAGACAAACAGGAUUCACACACACCCCCCAAUAAAAAAGCUUUUCGAGUAUGUAACAGACUAGUUUCUGCAGAGACGCUUAUCCUACUGAGUCUCUCUUGUGUUUUCCCUGUAACAGAGAAAGUGCUCGUUCACGCUUUUGUUAUAGCUCAGCAUUUCCAAGCUUUGUAUCCUCACAGAGAUAAGAUGCUACAUUUAUACAUUAAAAGGAAGAGGUCUCCAUCAAAGCUGUGAAUGA